UGGGGAAUAUUGCACAAUGGGCGAAAGCCUGAUGCAGCAACGCCGCGUGAGUGAUGAAGGCCUUCGGGUUGUAAAGCUCUGUCUUUUGGGACGAUAAUGACGGUACCAAAGGAGGAAGCCACGGCUAACUACGUGCCAGCAGCCGCGGUAAUACGUAGGUGGCAAGCGUUGUCCGGAUUUACUGGGCGUAAAGGAUGCGUAGGCGGAUUUUUAAGUGAGAUGUGAAAUACCCGGGCUUAACUUGGGUGCUACAUUUCAAACUGGGAAUCUAGAGUGCGGGAGAGGAGAAUGGAAUUCCUAGUGUAGCGGUGAAAUGCGUAGAGAUUAGGAAGAACACCAGUGGCGAAGGCGAUUCUCUGGACCGUAACUGACGCUGAGGCAUGAAAGCGUGGGUAGCAAACAGGAUUAGAUACCCUGGUAGUCCACGCCGUAAACGAUGAGUACUAGGUGUAGGAGGUAUCGACCCCUUCUGUGCCGCAGUUAACACAAUAAGUACUCCGCCUGGGAAGUACGAUCGCAAGAUUAAAACUUAAAUGAAUUGACGGGGUCAUAGCUG
This 556-nucleotide ribosomal RNA is filed under the name uncultured bacterium. RNAcentral's name for it is "partial 16S ribosomal RNA". It matches the Rfam family "Bacterial small subunit ribosomal RNA", at positions 355 to 932 of the family's 1533-position model. The record is from RNAcentral.